This 279-nucleotide unclassified non-coding RNA is filed under the name plant metagenome. RNAcentral describes it as "partial contains small subunit ribosomal RNA, internal transcribed spacer 1, and 5.8S ribosomal RNA". The record is from RNAcentral.
UUUCCGUAGGUGAACCUGCGGAAGGAUCAUUAUUGUAUAACCGAGGUUCAAGGCCUGUCUCUAAACCGCCAUAUCGUGCUCGCCCGAAUGCCCUCACACACAUCCAUCUCAUCCCUAUGUACACCACCGCGUGUGUCCCCCUGGGGCUUUUUCGACGCAGGGCUUACGUUUUCUCGCCAACUAUGUAUUCUGAGUAGCUUGUAUUUUUUUUUUUUUCUCACCCACGAUCAACUCAACUUUCAACAACAGAUAUCUUGGCGCUCGCCUCAAUGAAAAACG